Molecule: ribosomal RNA, 434 nt
Filed under: uncultured Coprococcus sp.
Lineage: Bacteria; Bacillati; Bacillota; Clostridia; Lachnospirales; Lachnospiraceae
Description: bacterial SSU rRNA
Rfam family: Bacterial small subunit ribosomal RNA
Source: RNAcentral
ACGGGAGGCAGCAGUGGGGGAUAUUGCACAAUGGGCGCAAGCCUGAUGCAGCGACGCCGCGUGAGUGAAGAAGUAUUUCGGUAUGUAAAGCUCUAUCAGCAAGGAAGAUAAUGACGGUACCCGACUAAGAAGCCCCGGCUAACUACGUGCCAGCAGCCGCGGUAAUACGUAGGGGGCAAGCGUUAUCCGGAUUUACUGGGUGUAAAGGGAGCGUAGGCGGCAUGAUAAGUCAGCAGUGAAAGCCCGGGGCUCAACUCCGGGACUGCUGUUGAAACUGUCAGGCUUGAUUUCAGGAGAGGAAAGCGGAAUUCCUAGUGUAGCGGUGAAAUGCGUAGAUAUUAGGAGGAACACCAGUGGCGAAGGCGGCUUUCUGGACUGACAAUGACGCUGAGGCUCGAAAGCGUGGGGAGCAAACAGGAUUAGAUACCCUGGUA